Ruditapes philippinarum (Manila clam) is the source of this 1766-nucleotide long non-coding RNA. RefSeq lists it as uncharacterized. The record is from RefSeq and is a predicted model, not a curated record. NCBI's taxonomy places the organism in Eukaryota, Metazoa, Mollusca, Bivalvia, Venerida, Veneridae. The transcript has 3 exons.
AGACAUUGAUUACAAAAUAAAUUGAAGUCAAUGCUGCAAUGAAAGAAAAAAUAAAACAAAAGUUGCCACUUCAUUUUUGUUUACAGUAUUUUUUCUACAUCACUAUGACAAAAAAUGUAACUGGACACAUAAUAUAUUUUGCAAUUUGUUUACAAUGAAUGAGCUUGAUAUAGAUCUACAUCAAGUAGAUUUAUACUGUAUAAAAUAUUUCUAAAAAAGGAAAUAUAUGACAAGGCUACAGUACUGUAAUUAUUGACAAAUGAAUUUCUAUUACAAUUCAAGAUCAAUUUAGUAAAGGAAAUGUUAUCCCUGUACUGCAUGCUGCUUUUGAAAUACAAUAAAUAGAUCUAGUACUGUGAUUGAAGAUGUCACCAUAGAUAAAUAUUAAAAUGCAUUUAUUAUUAUUAGCCCUUUGCCUUUGGUAGUAUCUACAAUAAAUCAUAUUAUAUUCACAUUACUCAUACCACAUAGCAUAUUCUACCAGCAGGGCUUCCAUUAAGUUCCAAACAUUGGCAGUCAAAGACUGCAAAAUGUCUGUAAUUGGAAGUCACUUUGUAGGUAAAGAAGGAAAAGCAUUACAUUUUGGAAGCCAAAAUCAAGGAGUAAAUGACUCCCAAACUUUAAUAACAGAAGCCCUGCUACCAGGAUAUUUUUAACAUUUAUGAGCCAGCACUUUUUGCUGAUGAAAUAUUUUGUGUUGUUGUUUUAGGUCUGACAGCCAACAUACAUUUAAGAUCUUCAACUUAGUUCAUCAGAGUUUUGAAGUAGAUAAUAUGAUUAUCCAGCAUGUUGGAGCCAUAUUCUUCAAGGAAAUGUACUGAAGACAUAGAUAGUUCACCUAUUUGCUGAUGAAUAUACUAAACUAUUGUUGGAAAUGAGGCACAAUGUGUGACAUAGUUCUAUGCCCUAUUUAGCACCAGGGUUAUGGAGUAAAAAAGACAAUCACUUGUAUCAACUGUACUGUAUUGGUCAAUAUAAAAAACACUUCAAUUGGGAUGGCAUGUGAGAAGUCAAUGACUUGUCUAUGUUUGACAGUAUACCAAAAGUGAAUUACAUUCUCAUAGAAUUUGUCUUUAGAAGUAUCCCUGAAAAAGCUGAAUACUGCAGUGGCAGAUGUUACAGUAUUUUUACUUAAUUGUGAAACAAGUUUUUGCAAGUUUUAUAUAUGAAUCACUUUUUGCUUACAAAAACUGAAGGCAUAUGAGGAGACAUAGUUGCUAUUACCCUGUUUGGGUCAAACCCUCAACAUGGGGUUGCAAGACUAUAAUUCAAGGACAUAAGUGAGCUGUCAUUUGUGACUUCCCAUGUGAUUGCAAGAAUCUGCUAUUGUAAUUGUUUUAAAUUCAUUGAAAUUAUUUCAAUUUAAAAAUAUACUAAUAUGCUAUUCAUAUUAUACAAUUUAAGAUACACUGAUCAGAAUAUGAUUACACUGUCAAUAUCUGUAACUGAAAAUUUAGUCAGGAACAUAACUAGUGCAAGCUCUUUCUAUUUUUUUUUGGUUAAAUUUCUGAAAGACUUUUGAAGUUAUUGUGAAAUGGAAUAUUUUUUUAUAAAAUGCAAUUAUUUUAAAUCAUUCAGUUAUUUUUGCAUUUUUUUUGUUACCAUGGCAACCAAAAUACACCAUUUUUGCAAUCAGUGCAUUAAAGAAUAUUUGUUUUGCAUUGGAUUCAUAUUUUAUAUGCUAUCAUGUUAUAAAUGUGCAUUUUAAAGUUGACUAACUUAAGUUAUGAUAUUAACCUAAAUCAUGGAAAAGUUACUGUAAUUCU